This 1233-nucleotide ribosomal RNA is filed under the name metagenome. RNAcentral describes it as "bacterial LSU rRNA". It matches the Rfam family "Bacterial large subunit ribosomal RNA", at positions 1564 to 2808 of the family's 2925-position model. The record is from RNAcentral.
UGAAUACGAGAUGCUACGGCGUCGAAGCAGUGUAUGUCAGACUUCCAAGAAAAGCUCGCAAUGUCAUAAAUAAAGAAUGCCUGUACCAUAACCGACACAGGUGGGUAGGUAGAGUAUACUAAGGGGCGCGAGAUAACUCUCUCUAAGGAACUCGGCAAAAUAACUCCGUAACUUCGGGAGAAGGAGUGCCUUCUUCAAGAAGGUUGCAAUAACAAGAUCCAAGCAACUGUUUAUCAAAAACACAGGUCUCCGCUAAGUCGUAAGACGAUGUAUGGGGGCUGACGCCUGCCCAGUGCCAGAAGGUUAAAGAAGUUGGUUAGCUUUUGCGAAGCUGAUGACUGAAGCCCUGGUGAACGGCGGCCGUAACAAUAACGGUCCUAAGGUAGCGAAAUUCCUUGUCGGGUAAGUUCCGACCCGCACGAAAGGCGUAAUGAUUUGGACACUGUCUCGGAGAGGGACUCGGUGAAAUAGACUUGUCUGUGAAGAUGCGGACUACCUGCACCAGGACAGAAAGACCCUAUGAAGCUUUACUGUAACUUGAAAUUGAAAUUGGACUUUAUUUGCGCAGUAUAGGUGGAAGGCGUUGAAAGUAAUCUUGCGGGAUUAGUGGAGCCAUCAGUGAGAUACCACUCCUAUAAUGUUAGAUUUCUAACUUUGGAUCAUGAUCUGGUCAAAGAACAGUUUCAGGCGGGCAGUUUGACUGGGGCGGUCGCCUCCCAAAUGGUAACGGAGGCGUACAAAGGUUUCCUCUGAACGGGUAGAAAUCGUAUCUAGAGUGUAAAGGCAUAAGGAAGCUUGACUGUGAGACCUACAAGUCGAGCAGGGAAAAGUCGGUCUUAGUGAUCUGACGGUGCUGAGUGGAAAGGCCGUCACUCAACGGAUAAAAGUUACUCUAGGAUAACAGGCUGAUCUCCCCCAAGAGUUCACAUCGACGGGGAGGUUUGGCACCUCGAUGUCGGCUCAUCGCAUCCUGGGGCGGUAGUACGUCCCAAGGGUUGGGCUGUUCGCCCAUGAAAGCGGUACGCGAGCUGGGUUCAGAACGUCGUGAGACAGUUCGGUCCAUAUCCGGUGUAGGCGUUAGAAUAUUGAGAGGAGCCUUCUUUAGUACGAGAGGACCGAGAAGGACAUACCUCUGGUGUACCAGUUAUCGUGCCAACGGUAAACGCUGGGUAGCUAUGUAUGGAGAGGAUAACCGCUGAAAGCAUCUAAGUGGGAAGCCCACCUCAAGAUGAG